RNAcentral lists this ribosomal RNA (515 nucleotides) under uncultured bacterium. RNAcentral's name for it is "partial 16S ribosomal RNA". It matches the Rfam family "Bacterial small subunit ribosomal RNA", at positions 28 to 523 of the family's 1533-position model. The record is from RNAcentral.
GAUGAACGCUGGCGGCGUGCCUAAUACAUGCAAGUCGAGCGAAUGGAUUAAGAGCUUGCUCUUAUGAAGUUAGCGGCGGACGGGUGAGUAACACGUGGGUAACCUGCCCAUAAGACUGGGAUAACUCCGGGAAACCGGGGCUAAUACCGGAUAACAUUUUGAGCCGCAUGGUUCGAAAUUGAAAGGCGGCUUCGGCUGUCACUUAUGGACGGACCCGCGUCGCAUUAGCUAGUUGGUGAGGUAACGGCUCACCAAGGCAACGAUGCGUAGCCGACCUGAGAGGGGGAUCGGCCACACUGGGACUGAGACACGGCCCAGACUCCUACGGGAGGCAGCAGUAGGGAAUCUUCCGCAAUGGACGAAAGUCUGACGGAGCAACGCCGCGUGAGUGAUGAAGGCUUUCGGGUCGUAAAACUCUGUUGUUAGGGAAGAACAAGUGCUAGUUGAAUAAGCUGGCACCUUGACGGUACCUAACCAGAAAGCCACGGCUAACUACGUGCCAGCAGCCGCAGUAA